UUACACGACCGUACCGCAAACCGACACUGGUGCGCGAGAUGAGUAUUCUAAGGCGCUUGAGAGAACUCAGGAGAAGGAACUCGGCAAAUUGACACCGUAACUUCGGAAGAAGGUGUGCCCUAUUAGUGUGAAGCGAACAGCGGAGCAUGAACGGGUUGCAAAAAAUCGGUGGCUGCGACUGUCUAUUAAAAACACAGCACUCUGCAAACACGAAAGUGGACGUAUAGGGUGUGACGCCUGCCCGGUGCUGGAAGAUUAAAUGAUGGGGUGCAAGCUCUUGAUUGAAGUCCCAGUAAACGGCGGCCGUAACAAUAACGGUCCUAAGGUAGCGAAAUUCCUUGUCGGGUAAGUUCCGACCUGCACGAAUGGCGUAACGAUGGCCACACUGUCUCCUCCUGAGACUCAGCGAAGUUGAAAUGUUUGUGAUGAUGCAAUCUCCCCGCGGAAAGACGGAAAGACCCCAUGAACCUUUACUGUAGCUUUGUAUUGGACUUUGAACAGAUCUGUGUAGGAUAGGUGGGAGGCUUUGAAGCAGGGUCGCUAGAUCUUGUGGAGCCAACGUUGAAAUACCACCCUGGUGUGUUUGAGGUUCUAACCUAGGUCCAUUAUCUGGAUCGGGGACAGUGCAUGGUAGGCAGUUUGACUGGGGCGGUCUCCUCCCAAAGCGUAACGGAGGAGUUCGAAGGUACGCUAGUUACGGUCGGACAUCGUGACGAUAGUGCAAUGGCAUAAGCGUGCUUAACUGCGAGACUGACAAGUCGAGCAGAUGCGAAAGCAGGACAUAGUGAUCCGGUGGUUCUGUAUGGAAGGGCCAUCGCUCAACGGAUAAAAGGUACUCUGGGGAUAACAGGCUGAUACCGCCCAAGAGUUCAUAUCGACGGCGGUGUUUGGCACCUCGAUGUCGGCUCAUCUCAUCCUGGGGCUGUAGCCGGUCCCAAGGGUAUGGCUGUUCGCCAUUUAAAGAGGUACGUGAGCUGGGUUCAAAACGUCGUGAGACAGUUUGGUCCCUAUCUUCCGUGGGCGCUGCAGAUUUGAGGAAGCCUGCUCCUAGUACGAGAGGACCGGAGUGGACACACCUCUGGUGUAUCGGUUGUCACGCCAGUGGCAUUGCCGAGUAGCUAAGUGUGGAAGAGAUAACCGCUGAAGCAUCUAAGCGGGAAACUCGUUUCAAGAUGAGAUCUGCCGGGGCCUUGAGCCCCCUGAAGAGUCGUUCAAGACCAGGACGUUGAUAGGUCAGGUGUGGAAGCGCAGUAAUGCGUUAAGCUAACUGAUACUAAUUGCUCGUGCGGCUUGACC
Molecule: ribosomal RNA, 1296 nt
Filed under: metagenome
Description: bacterial LSU rRNA
Rfam family: Bacterial large subunit ribosomal RNA
Source: RNAcentral